GACGAACGCUGGCGGCGUGCUUAACACAUGCAAGUCGAACGGAAAGGCCCUGCUUUUGUGUGGUGCCCGAGUGGCGAACGGGUGAGUAACACGUGAGUAACCUGCCCUUGACUUUGGGAUAACUUCAGGAAACUGGGGCUAAUACCGGAUAGGAGCUCCUGCUGCAUGGGGGGGGUUGGAAAGUUUCGGCGGUUGGGGAUGGACUCGCGGCUUAUCAGCUUGUUGGUGGGGUAGUGGCUUACCAAGGCUUUGACUGGUAGCCGGCCUGAGAGGGUGACCGGCCACAUUGGGACUGCGAUACGGCCCAGACUCCUACGGGAGGCAGCAGUGGGGAAUAUUGCCCAAUGGGCGGACGCCUGAUGCAGCAACCCCGCGUGCGGGAUGACGGCCUUCGGGUUGUAAACCGCUUUCGCCUGUGACGAAGCGUGAGUGACGGUAAUGGGUAAAGAAGCACCGGCUAACUACGUG
Molecule: ribosomal RNA, 468 nt
Filed under: uncultured bacterium
Lineage: Bacteria
Description: partial 16S ribosomal RNA
Rfam family: Bacterial small subunit ribosomal RNA
Source: RNAcentral